CAGCCGCCGCGGUAAUUCAGAGGGUGCAAGCGUUGCUCGGAAUCACUGGGCGUAAAGCGCACGUAGGCGGACCCUUAAGUCGGUGGUGAAAUCCUGGAGCUCAACUCCAGAACUGCCUUCGAUACUGGGAGUCUUGAGUUCGGGAGAGGUGAGUGGAACUGCGAGUGUAGAGGUGAAAUUCGUAGAUAUUCGCAAGAACACCAGUGGCGAAGGCGGCUCACUGGCCCGAUACUGACGCUGAGGCACGAAAGCGUGGGGAGCAAACAGGAUUAGAUACCCUGGUAGUCCACGCCGUAAACGAUGAGAACUAGGUGUCGUGGGAGUUGACCCCCGCGGUGCCGAAGCUAACGCAUUAAGUUCUCCGCCUGGGGAGUACGGUCGCAAGACUAAAACUUAAAGGAAUUGACGG
This 409-nucleotide ribosomal RNA is filed under the name uncultured soil bacterium. RNAcentral describes it as "bacterial SSU rRNA". It matches the Rfam family "Bacterial small subunit ribosomal RNA", at positions 509 to 916 of the family's 1533-position model. The record is from RNAcentral.